GCGGGUAGGGUCUCCGCGACCCUCCCGGCCUCCCGCCUCCGGGCGGGUCGGCGCCCGCCGGAGGAUAACCAAACUCUGAUUUAACGACGUUUCUUCUGAGUGGUACAAGCAAAUAAUCAAAACUUUUAACAACGGAUCUCUUGGUUCUGGCAUCGAUGAAGAACGCAGCGAAAUGCGAUAAGUAAUGUGAAUUGCAGAAUUCAGUGAAUCAUCGAAUCUUUGAACGCACAUUGCGCCCGCCAGCAUUCUGGCGGGCAUGCCUGUUCGAGCGUCAUUUCAACCCUCAAGCUCUGCUUGGUGUUGGGGCCCUACAGCUGAUGUAGGCCCUCAAAGGUAGUGGCGGACCCUCCUGAUACCCCUUCCUCUUCCAUCCCCAAAGAUACCCCUUCUCAACAGCCAAAGAGCCCCCCAUUUCCCAAUGUUCCCGACGAUCCUCCCUCACAAACCUUUGCCCCGUCGAACACGAGCAAAAUACCUCCGACCGUCCCU
RNAcentral lists this ribosomal RNA (489 nucleotides) under Colletotrichum gloeosporioides. Its description in RNAcentral is "eukaryotic LSU rRNA". The stretch from base 121 to 274 matches the Rfam family "5.8S ribosomal RNA". Lineage: Eukaryota; Fungi; Ascomycota; Sordariomycetes; Glomerellales; Glomerellaceae. The record is from RNAcentral.